This 251-nucleotide ribosomal RNA is filed under the name uncultured bacterium. Its description in RNAcentral is "partial 16S ribosomal RNA". It matches the Rfam family "Bacterial small subunit ribosomal RNA", at positions 524 to 776 of the family's 1533-position model. The record is from RNAcentral.
GACGGGGGGGGCAAGUGUUCUUCGGAAUGACUGGGCGGAAAGGGCACGUAGGCGGUGAAUCGGGUUGAAAGUGAAAGUCGCCAAAAACUGGCGGAAUGCUCUCGAAACCAAUUCACUUGAGUGAGACAGAGGAGAGUGGAAUUUCGUGUGUAGGGGUGAAAUCCGGAGAUCUACGAAGGAACGCCAAAAGCGAAGGCAGCUCUCUGGGUCCCUACCGACGCUGGGGUGCGAAAGCAUGGGGAGCGAACAGG